Molecule: ribosomal RNA, 741 nt
Filed under: uncultured bacterium
Lineage: Bacteria
Description: bacterial SSU rRNA
Rfam family: Bacterial small subunit ribosomal RNA
Source: RNAcentral
CCUAGUACGAUUGCCUUGAGUUGAUCAUGGCUCGAACGAACGCUGGCGGCAGGCUUACACAUGCAAGUCGAGCGCCUUGGCAACAAGGAGCGGCAGACGGGUGAGUAACGCGUGGGAAUCUACCCAUCCCUACGGAACAACUCCGGGAAACUGGAGCUAAUACCGUAUACGCCCUUCGGGGGAAAGAUUUAUCGGGGAUGGAUGAGCCCGCGUUGGAUUAGCUAGUUGGUGGGGUAAAGGCCUACCAAGGCGACGAUCCAUAGCUGGUCUGAGAGGAUGAUCAGCCACAUUGGGACUGAGACACGGCCCAAACUCCUACGGGAGGCAGCAGUGGGGAAUAUUGGACAAUGGGCGCAAGCCUGAUCCAGCCAUGCCGCGUGAGUGAUGAAGGUCUUAGGAUUGUAAAGCUCUUUCACCGGAGAAGAUAAUGACGGUAUCCGGAGAAGAAGCCCCGGCUAACUUCGUGCCAGCAGCCGCGGUAAUACGAAGGGGGCUAGCGUUGUUCGGAAUUACUGGGCGUAAAGCGCACGUAGGCGGAUAUUUAAGUCAGGGGCGAAAUCCCAGAGCUCAACUCUGGAACUGCCUUUGAUACUGGGUAUCUUGAGUAUGGAAGAGGUAAGUGGAAUUGCGAGUGUAGAGGUGAAAUUCGUAGAUAUUCGCAGGAACACCAGUGGCGAAGGCGGCUUACUGGUCCAUUACUGACGCUGAGGUGCGAAAGCGUGGGGAGCAAACAGGAUUAGA